Molecule: long non-coding RNA, 1290 nt
Filed under: Homo sapiens (human)
Lineage: Eukaryota; Metazoa; Chordata; Mammalia; Primates; Hominidae
Description: HSALNT0179646
Source: RNAcentral
GUUUCUUCUGGAAGAUGUGAUUCUAAAAGAAAAAGAAGGAAAUAUUUUAUAUGUCUAACUUUUAACCAGGAAUUGUGGGAGGUUUUCAAUGUUUAAGAAACUGUUUAAGAAGUUUUCUUUAUGAUCAAAAUAUGUUUAUUCUCUCAAUUUCUGAACCAAUAAUUGGCUUGUCAUUUUAAAGCCUUAACAAAGUUAUUGUGGCAAAAUAUUUUCUUGAAAAAUAAUGCAUCUAAUUUUCGACUUCCUGUGGCCCUACUACUAUCCUUGCUUCCCAAAACAAAGGUCUCCAACUCAGGCAAAUACAGUCUCUGCAAAGUGGAACUCAAAAUAUUAACGAGUCACUGCAAGAAAGAAUACAGUGUAAAGGAAAUUUGGAUGGGACUGCAAGUAAAAUCAAUGAAGUCUAUCCAAAUGUAGAUCCUGGAGGAAUACAAUCUGUGUCUCUUACAUCAAGAAAGACUUAGUACUCUCCAAGAAUACCAUUUUGUACCAAGUUCAAACUGGAGGAUCACAAGUCUUUACAUGUGACUUAGGAAACAGGAAGAAGCAACCAAACCAAUCUAAGUGAGGCUUCAUUAAGGAACCCCAAUUUCAUUAUGUUAUGAGCCCUGAUUUAGUCACUGAAACCCUUACCUACAAGGCAUCGGCGAGUUUGGGACUUAAGCAUUUGCUGCCUGAUCCUCCUUGCUUGGGCACUGCAUACCAACACCUUCCUUUCUACAGCUGCAAACCUUCCUUUACAUAUCUGGUUCUACUGUGCCAGAACAAAGAAUUGAUUCAAUGCCAGACUGUCUGGAGCCAGUAGAACUGAAGAAAAUGAUGACUACUAGGGAAUAGAUUUUAAUAUGUGUAAUAUGGUUUAGUUGACCACAAUUAUUAACAAUCAACAUAUCAUAGAAACAAUAUAUUGUUUUCCCUAAUAAUCAGGCCUGGGUCUACAGAGUUGUACUGAGAACAGGAUUAGUGUAGCUGAUGAUAUAUGAAGAGUUAUCUUUGUCACACAGCCUGAAAGAUUAUUAAAUGUCUACUUGGUCAAGCACUUAAAGCAUGCAUUCUUUAGCUAUCCUUUUCUCUCUUAAUUUCUUUUAUAAAAUUCAGGAGAUGUUCUGAUCUCUGAGAAUGUAAAACUUACAAGUGCAAAUUUAAACCUCCAAAUUGAUGAUAAUCUUUUGGUGGAUAUAGGCACAGAAAUAAACAAAAACAAAAAUAAAAAAAAAUUAUGUGUCAACAAAUGCUUAUUUGUCUAUAGGUAGAUUUUGCCAGCCCAGAAAUAGUUUCCUAGGUUUCAGC